UCCACUCCCAUACUUAUUCCCAGUUUAGUUUUGUGGCUUGUUCCGAAACUAAUAAUAUUUUCGAACUCAUGUUCCUGAGUUUGUUCCUCUGGUUUAGGUUCGUAGCUCCCUUUUUUCUGCCUUUUCUCAUCUUUCCCAAAUGAUACUACUAAUCCUGCACCUGACUCUGAACCUUGUUUGCAGGUAUGACUUCCUUUAUAUGUUACUUGAACAAGUGAUGAAUCAUCAUCUGAUUUUUGAACUUGCUUCGUAGCCAAACAGCCUUGCGAGUGACGAUAGGUGCAUCGAUAAUAAGCCCUUGAGAAUGAAAUUUGUAGAAAGUUGUCAGCGGAAAAGAAAUAUAAAAUGAUGAUUACUCUGUAGAUGCAAAUGACAACAGUUUACAGAUUGAUUUGUUCUAGUGCUCAAAGGCAAGUUCAAGUGUCAAUUGUGGAGGGACCAUAAGAAAGAUUUGAACUUAAACUCCUAAAGUAUCCUAUCAAAAGAAGCAAGUGGCCAGAGUUUUUGCACAUGACUUUUGUUUGAUUGUUAUGAUCAAAUUUGUCAAGUAAACUAGUUGCAUACGAAACAACAUACAGUAUGGAAAGUCAAAAUAGUAGUAUGGUUGAGUUUCUCUCACACCUUG
Molecule: long non-coding RNA, 625 nt
Filed under: Daucus carota (carrot)
Lineage: Eukaryota; Viridiplantae; Streptophyta; Magnoliopsida; Apiales; Apiaceae
Description: long non-coding RNA (DCAR_LNC001636)
Source: RNAcentral